This 73-nucleotide transfer RNA is filed under the name Coleonyx variegatus. RNAcentral's name for it is "tRNA-Thr". Lineage: Eukaryota; Metazoa; Chordata; Lepidosauria; Squamata; Eublepharidae. The record is from RNAcentral.
GCCCCAGUAGCUUAAACUACCAAAGCCUUGAUCUUGUAAAUCAAAAAUGGGUUUUACCUCAACCCCUGAGGCA